Molecule: ribosomal RNA, 104 nt
Filed under: uncultured bacterium
Lineage: Bacteria
Description: partial 16S ribosomal RNA
Rfam family: Bacterial small subunit ribosomal RNA
Source: RNAcentral
UACGUUCCCGGGUCUUGUACACACCGCCCGUCAUACCACGAAAGUCAGUAGCACCCGAAGCGCCAUUUUAUAUGGUUCUAAGGUGAGAUUGAUGAGUUGGGGUA